This 22-nucleotide non-coding RNA is filed under the name Arabidopsis thaliana (thale cress). Lineage: Eukaryota; Viridiplantae; Streptophyta; Magnoliopsida; Brassicales; Brassicaceae. The record is from RNAcentral.
ACAGUGAAUUUCGUAGCCUCUU